UACGUAGGGUGCAAGCGUUAUCCGGAAUUAUUGGGCGUAAAGAGCUCGUAGGCGGUUUGUCGCGUCUGCUGUGAAAUCCCGAGGCUCAACCUCGGGCCUGCAGUGGGUACGGGCAGACUAGAGUGCGGUAGGGGAGAUUGGAAUUCCUGGUGUAGCGGUGGAAUGCGCAGAUAUCAGGAGGAACACCGAUGGCGAAGGCAGAUCUCUGGGCCGAUACUGACGCUGAGGAGCGAAAGCGUGGGGAGCAAACAGG
This 253-nucleotide ribosomal RNA is filed under the name uncultured bacterium. RNAcentral describes it as "partial 16S ribosomal RNA". It matches the Rfam family "Bacterial small subunit ribosomal RNA", at positions 524 to 776 of the family's 1533-position model. The record is from RNAcentral.